UACUAUGCCCAGCAGUAACACAACAAUUAAAUAACGCAUUGUUCGCCAAAUAACUACGAGUAAAAACUUAAAAUUUAAAAGACUUGACGGUAUCUCACAACAACCUAGAGGAGCCUGUCUAAUAACCGAUACCCCACGAUAAACCUAACCCAGGCUAGCCCAACAGUCUAUAUACCGCCGUCGCCAGCCCACCUUGUGAAAGUAACAGAGUGGGCCUAAAAGCCACAACACUAACACGACAGGUCGAGGUGUAACUUAUGCCUGGGUAAAAGAUGGGCUACAUUUUCUACCACAGAAUAAACGAAUAGACUUUGAAACAAGAAACUGAAGGCGGAUUUAGAAGUAAGCUGAGAACAAAUAUACUCAACCGAAAUCAAUGCAAUGAGAUGCGUACACACCGCCCGUCAUCCCUGACAACCAAUAAACCACAAAAAUAUUAAAACAAAUAGCACUAAACA
This 458-nucleotide ribosomal RNA is filed under the name Ahaetulla prasina. Its description in RNAcentral is "partial 12S ribosomal RNA". The record is from RNAcentral. Lineage: Eukaryota; Metazoa; Chordata; Lepidosauria; Squamata; Colubridae.